Long non-coding RNA from Mesocricetus auratus (golden hamster), 1051 nucleotides. RefSeq lists it as uncharacterized. The record is from RefSeq and is a predicted model, not a curated record. Lineage: Eukaryota; Metazoa; Chordata; Mammalia; Rodentia; Cricetidae. The transcript is spliced from 2 exons.
GCCCAGUUUGAGACUCUGUUUUUCGUCUUCAGUUCCAGAGAACCAGAUCCCAGUAUGGCUGAUCUUUCACCAGGAACGUGUUCCCAAGGGAGGCAAUGCAGCAACAUGAUUGAUUCUAUGUCUUAACUACAAGUGGAGAUUCAGCAGACCAACUUACAUGCUUCCUGGGGCUCAGGCAUUUGGAAUGAACAGGGCCAGCAAGCAGCUGCCAAACGCCAUGAAGGUGGACUACAUGUGAGUCAUUUCAAGAGGGAUUUCAAGUGACUGAGAGGCCUCUUUAUCUCUUGGUGACUUAAGCAGAGAAUGGAGUUGUCAUCUUAAGGCAAUGGAACCUGGAGCUGUGGAUCAGCCAUGGGGAGGAUACGGGUCCCAGCCCAGCAGUCUUUCCGGGGCUGCUGAUGAGCGUGACCUUUGCAAGAAAUGCACGGAGCCUUGAUUUCUACAGUUAACCUUUGCAAGUCGGAACCCCUCUGUGAAACUUACCCCCAGCCCAGGGAAGCUCAAAUCCAGACACAUACACAUUUCAUGAAAAAGCAGCUUGGAGCAGGCACAGGCGCGGAGCAUACAUUAUCAGAGGAUGAGGACCUACUUUAAAGUAUUCUCCCAACUGUGUUUUUUUCAUGCAUCUAUAUACAUCUUCCUCUGGAGCAGGAAAAGUGAGAGUCCUCAUUGCUGUCACCUCUAUAUUUAAAUGUAUGUGCUACUCCUCAGUAUGCCCUUUAUAGAAACGGGUGGUAGGAAUGGAAAAUAUGUGUGUUCGGCAUUCCCAUUUUCUUAAUGUUAAGUAACAAUCAAGACUAUGUGUUGAGGGGUGAGGGUGGAUGGAACAUUAAUAGCCUCAGUUUCUGCCCGUAAUCAGAAAAGAAAGCCAUUUUUAUGUGGCAGUGUCUCAAAUGUGUUCUUUACCCCUAACCUUCUGAAUAGUCACUACAAAUGUAGAGAUCUUAGAACAUUAUGAAGUGACUCUGGUGGUAUCCUUUUAAAUGUUAUUGGCACAUAUUUGCUGUACACAGUGAUGGGUUUCUUUCUUUAAAAAAUAUUUAUUACUUUA